CCUACGGGAGGCAGCAGUAGGGAAUCUUCCACAAUGGACGCAAGUCUGAUGGAGCAACGCCGCGUGAGUGAAGAAGGUUUUCGGAUCGUAAAGCUCUGUUGUUGGUGAAGAAGGAUAGAGGUAGUAACUGGUCUUUAUUUGACGGUAAUCAACCAGAAAGUCACGGCUAACUACGUGCCAGCAGCCGCGGUAAU
This 194-nucleotide ribosomal RNA is filed under the name uncultured bacterium. RNAcentral's name for it is "partial 16S ribosomal RNA". It matches the Rfam family "Bacterial small subunit ribosomal RNA", at positions 338 to 524 of the family's 1533-position model. The record is from RNAcentral.